Hibiscus syriacus is the source of this 1068-nucleotide long non-coding RNA. RefSeq lists it as uncharacterized. The record is from RefSeq and is a predicted model, not a curated record. Lineage: Eukaryota; Viridiplantae; Streptophyta; Magnoliopsida; Malvales; Malvaceae. The transcript is spliced from 5 exons.
AAAACCGUCAAAACUCCACCGACCCAUGUCCUCCUCUCCCUUGGGCUCGCCGACGAGCUCUCGGUGAGAACAAUCCGAUAAUAAGAAAGAAAGAUUACAUUUUGCUGAAGGAUUUAUAAGUGAAAACUGAAGUUGAUGAAGAAAAGGGUUUUGUUUUAUGCUUCUGGGUUUCUAUCUUCAACUUCUAUUCUGUGUAUCCCGAAACCAUUCUUGAACAGGUGUAUGCAGAGAGUAACAGCAGGUCCCCUUUACUUGUUCUAAACGGAAAGACAUUGAUGUUUUUACCAUUGACUUGCCUACUCAAUGAAGCUCCUGGUCCUGGAAACACUGAUUUACGAUUAACCGCCGAGAUUGAACAAAACCAAAACAAAUGGAUACAUGUCGGAUACGAGGUCUCUUCUGAUUUUGUGCGGCUUUGCACUAAUGGGGAGAUUGCAGGAGUGUGACAUCUUUCUUGUAGUUCAAGGAAGAGGACAUUGAUUGAUAUUCGUGGCAAUAGAAGUUUUCAUGCUUUCAUCCAUGACGCAAAAGUCUUGCCUUAAACGUUCUCCGUAAAGGACCAAUAUGUGAAGGCAUAUCGUCGUCGGAUCUUUUCCUUGGAUGUUGUUUUAUUAAAUAUCUUUGGGCAGCCAGUAAACAAGGAACUAGAGGUCGUGGCAUCACUCUUGUAUGCUUUUAAUCGGUUACCCGUUGAGAAGAUAAAUGGUGAAGAACCUCCUCUUCUAGUUAGCUGUGAUGGAAUUGAAUUUGCCUCUUCUGACCGACCUAGUAAAUUAUCAAAUGGGCGGGCAUCCUUUAAACUGAAGAUCUCCAAGGUGGUAAUAUUAGAUAUAGUUUGUGCUAUAUUUUGUUCAAUACGUGUGUUUUUCGGUAUUUUAUAAAUUUCUUCGUGGAACUUAUUCCAUGAGAAACUAGUCCGUAGUUUUUCAUUCUUCUAGAGGCCUUCUUUUGUGGAAAAUAAUGUCUUCUGCUGAUGGUAACCGACCCCAUAUAAUAUAACUUCAGCUAAACUACUUCUCAAGCACAGAGGUUACAAUAUUUUGUGUAGCUAGGUUGGUUGAGUUGAAG